RNAcentral lists this ribosomal RNA (547 nucleotides) under uncultured Bacillus sp. Its description in RNAcentral is "bacterial SSU rRNA". It matches the Rfam family "Bacterial small subunit ribosomal RNA", at positions 337 to 875 of the family's 1533-position model. The record is from RNAcentral. Lineage: Bacteria; Bacillati; Bacillota; Bacilli; Caryophanales; Bacillaceae.
UCCUACGGGAGGCAGCAGUAGGGAAUCUUCCACAAUGGACGAAAGUCUGAUGGAGCAACGCCGCGUGAGCGAUGAAGGCCUUCGGGUCGUAAAGCUCUGUUGUUAGGGAAGAACAAGUACCGGAGUAACUGCCGGUACCUUGACGGUACCUAACCAGAAAGCCACGGCUAACUACGUGCCAGCAGCCGCGGUAAUACGUAGGUGGCAAGCGUUGUCCGGAAUUAUUGGGCGUAAAGCGCGCGCAGGCGGUCCUUUAAGUCUGAUGUGAAAGCCCACGGCUCAACCGUGGAGGGUCAUUGGAAACUGGGGGACUUGAGUGCAGAAGAGGAAAGCGGAAUUCCACGUGUAGCGGUGAAAUGCGUAGAGAUGUGGAGGAACACCAGUGGCGAAGGCGGCUUUCUGGUCUGUAACUGACGCUGAGGCGCGAAAGCGUGGGGAGCAAACAGGAUUAGAUACCCUGGUAGUCCACGCCGUAAACGAUGAGUGCUAAGUGUUAGGGGGUUUCCGCCCCUUAGUGCUGCAGCUAACGCAUUAAGCACUCCGCCUG